Molecule: long non-coding RNA, 754 nt
Filed under: Capsella rubella
Lineage: Eukaryota; Viridiplantae; Streptophyta; Magnoliopsida; Brassicales; Brassicaceae
Description: long non-coding RNA (CRUB_LNC003803)
Source: RNAcentral
CACAGGUUCAUUCAAAUCCGAAUUCUAUACUACCAUCAAGACACAAAGAAAUACAGAGAUGGCAUUGCAUUUCUGACCUGUUUUGUUUUUAGCAAAAUUCUCCUCUGGCCUUCUCGCCAAUGCCAUAUGUAGUUGACGAAGUGAUCCCCACUCCAUGGUAGCAGACCCAAUGCAUAUGUCAAAUACAAGACAACAUACUCAUCAAUAAACAUAAAUCAAAAUACAUCUCUGAUAACCUUAUCUAAAAUGCCAAUACCAACAAUAACUAAACAUAUUCGUGACACCAAUUUUGAUCUAAGAGAGUAUAAUCAACCAACCAAACAUAAGAAAAAAAUGCAUAUACCUACAAUCGGGUUCAAAAUGCAUAUACCUACAAUCGGGUUCAAAAUGCAUAUACCUACAAUCGGGUUCAAAAUUCUUUAAAAAUCAACCAUUACAAACCUUCACAAACUCAAUGGAUGCAGAUAAUACGCAUAAUUAAAGAAUCUAGCAGUGCAUAACAAAAUUUCCCCAAAUCCAGAAACCAUAUUCAAGAAUCGGGUUUCUAUUUCUAACAAUCAUGCCUUAAUAACAUCUCACACACUCAUACAUCCUUCUAAUAACCCUAUUUAUGCACACUAGCAACGAAUUACACGUUUUCCCCAAAUCCAAGAACCCUAAUUUUACCAAAUCAGAAACCCUAAUUUUACAAAUUCAGAAACCCUAAUCAACGAAUCAAUAAAGAAAUUCAUACCUUCAAAAACCGAUUGCUGCU